RNAcentral lists this unclassified non-coding RNA (221 nucleotides) under uncultured Saccharomycetes. RNAcentral describes it as "sequence contains ITS1". The record is from RNAcentral. Lineage: Eukaryota; Fungi; Ascomycota; Saccharomycetes.
CCAAGAGAAAUCUUUCAACACUGAAAGAUCUUUUCCUUUGUGUGAGGAGUUUUGAGUAUUUUUUUGUACAAGUGUGAAUUUUAUAAAAAUUUUUGCUUUGGCUGAAAUUAAUAUAUAUAUAUAUAUAUAUAUAUAUAUAUUCGGCCAAAAGUUUUUAAUUAAAACCUUUUUAUUUAUAAACAUUUUGAAUCUGAAGAACUGUUUUAUGAAAAAUUUAUUUA